Molecule: transfer RNA, 64 nt
Filed under: uncultured Corynebacterium sp.
Lineage: Bacteria; Bacillati; Actinomycetota; Actinomycetes; Mycobacteriales; Corynebacteriaceae
Rfam family: tRNA
About the family: Transfer RNA (tRNA) molecules are approximately 80 nucleotides in length.
Source: RNAcentral
CGUAGCUCAGUGGAUGAGAGCAUUGGUUUCCGGUACCAAAGGUCGCAGGUUCGAAUCCUGUCGG